RNAcentral lists this long non-coding RNA (1564 nucleotides) under Homo sapiens (human). Its description in RNAcentral is "HSALNT0287897". The record is from RNAcentral. Lineage: Eukaryota; Metazoa; Chordata; Mammalia; Primates; Hominidae.
CUUCCAUUUACUGUAUGUCACUUUCCUUUUUCUGUCCAUAAAUCAUCUUCCACUAUGUCGCUGUGCUGGAGUCCCAGUGCCUGCUCUAGCUCAGGAGGCUGCCUAAUUCGUGAAUCAUCCAUUGCGCAAUUAAACUUCUUUAAAUUUAAUUUGGCUGAAGUUUUUCUUUUAACAGUUGGCAUCAGAAGUGAGAUCCAAAGUAGAGCUUCUAACGACCUCCAGGAGCGCUGAGUGACCAAGCAAUGUACUCAACCACCUGUUGUGCCCAUCGCUCGAGAUCUCAGAGCAGCUGGGGAUUGUGGUUUAGGCACGUACAGGACCAUGGAACAUGGGGAACUUUUGCUCCCCAAACGGGGAAACAUGAGAGCCAAUGGGACUGCUGAAAAUGAUCCCUUUGUGACCAACAAGCAGCUACCUGAAUUUUUGUCAACUGGAUAGCUUUUCUCCAUUUUGUCUUCUUGCCACUCUUGAUGCACACAUGCGAGGAAAUAAAAUAACUUCUAACAGCUCGUUACUCCAAUAAAAUAACUUACCAGGUUUUUUUUACCACAAAUAGAAAUUGCUAAGAGUUAACAUUGUAACAUGAAAUCAAGACUACUGAAAAAACAGUUUUACAUGCAACGUAUGUGAAGAAAGUGAAAUGUGCUUUUAGUAAAAGAUCAUAAGAAGGCCCUGGAAUGUAAAUUUUUGCCUAGUAAGAUAGAAUAAAGCUAAAUGUUUGAGCAAGUUGUUGAAGGUUUGUAAAAAAUUAAUCUUGUAAAAAGAAAUUCUGUGAAUGACAAUAUUGGCUAUUUAAAGGAGUAACAUUUGGUUUUUCCAUAAAUUGAACAUUGGAAUAAAAGCACAACAGGGGCAGAAGUCCUGGUGACUCAAGCCGGAAAUCCAAGCACUUUAGGAGGCCCAGGUGGGUGGAUCACUUGAGGUCAGAAGUUUGAGACUAGCCUGGCCAACAUGGUGAAACCCCGUCUCUACUAAAAACACAAAAAUUAACUGGGCAUGGUGACGCAUGACUGUAAUCCCAGUUACUUGGGAGGCUGCGGCAGGAGAGUCACUUGAACCCAGGAGACAGAGGUUGUAUUUAGCCAAGAUUGUGCCAGUGCACUCCAGCCUGGGUGGCAGAGGGAGACUGUCUAAAAACAACAACAACAACAACAAAGAACAACAGGAUUUUCUCAGAGCACUAAUCUACUCUUUAACAAAAAUUUGUAAAGGGUUAUAAAAAGGUUUAUGAGAGUCUCACCUUAUAAUCAAAGUGAUUAAGAUUGAACAGAUUUGUAUAUAAGGUUUUAUUAAAAAUUGGGGUUGACAAUAGUAUACUAAUACAAGGAUGAAAUUUGGCUUUCUGUCUUGAAUAAGAUUUUCAUGUAAUACUAAAAAUAAUAAAAGAUUUUGUUUGCCUUUUGAGUAAACUACAGGAAAAAAAUGGAAAAACAAGAGACAGAUUAUCUGAAAAUCUAAGUCUUCCAUUUAUCAAUGAGUAAAGGUUUUUGCCUUUUUAAAAUCUUUGAGUCAUCAUUUUGGCUAAAUAAAUGACUUUUGGUGACCUGGAAUUCUCAAGUGUUUU